AGCAGCCGCGGUAAUUCCAGCUCCAAUAGCGUAUAUUAAAGUUGUUGCAGUUAAAAAGCUCGUAGUUGAAUUUCGGGAUCAAUUUAUUGGUCGUGCUAUUGUACGUACUGGUAUUAUUGAUUCCUACCUUCUGACGAACCAUGAUGUCAUUAAUUUGGUGUCAUGGGGAAUCAGGACUGUUACUUUGAAAAAUUAGAGUGUUUAAAGCAGGCUCACGCUUGAAUACAUUAGCAUGGAAUAACGAAAUAGGACGUUUGAUUCUAUUUUGUUGGUUUCUAGGAUCGACGUAAUGAUUAAUAGGGAUAGUUGGGGGCAUUAGUAUUCAAUUGUCAGAGGUGAAAUUCUUGGAUUUAUUGAAGACUAACUACUGCGAAAGCAUUUGCCAAGGAUGUUUUCAUUAAUCAAGAACGAAAGUUAGGGGAUCGAAGACGAUCAGAUACGUCGUAGUCUUAACCAUAAACUAAUGCCGACUAGGGAUCGGAUGAU
This 486-nucleotide ribosomal RNA is filed under the name uncultured Glomus. RNAcentral's name for it is "SSU rRNA". It matches the Rfam family "Eukaryotic small subunit ribosomal RNA", at positions 569 to 1061 of the family's 1831-position model. Lineage: Eukaryota; Fungi; Glomeromycota; Glomeromycetes; Glomerales; Glomeraceae. The record is from RNAcentral.